CAUAAUCAAACUGGUGUACAAACUGUGCAUUAAAAAUGUGGACUUUCAUUCAUUAAUUCUGUCAAAAUCCUCAGCAAAUGUACAACAAAAAUAAAACCGUAAAAUGAUAAGUUUUAAAAAUAGAUUUUUAUAAAGUUCAGAUGUUUGGUUGAUUAAUGUAGCAACCAUUUGUAAGAAUACAAGACUUUUAGGGAUGCCUAUAAAUCAAAUUAUGGGCGUCCAUCAGUUUUCAUUUGAAUGUUUUUGUUAUUUAAGGGGACACCUCAAUGGUGACCUCAGACUCCUGGCAUAAAGAAAUUAGGAGAAUAUAAAGAAGAAUCAAUCUCCUAAGGCAGACACACGCUGGAAGUGUUAGUACCACCAGUAUCUAAAACGAAAAACAAAUUGAUUUAAAUGAUGAUGAUAUAAAAAAUCAUUUUUGAAAUGGCUAAAAUGUAAUGCUGUGUUACAACAAAAGCUAGCAAUGUGGCUCCUCUCACACAGACUUGAUCAUCAUUCUGGUGGCCUUCAAGGAGUAAGGCGCAGGAUUCUUCCAGGUAUGCCAGUAGAGGCCUGACGCCCAGCCGAUGUGAUCACCUGCAGCAUGCCAGUCGCUGUUCAGACUGGCAGAGCCACAGCGGCUGUACCACCAACCGCCGCCGUCUGAAUUGGUACAUUCAUUUUCAGCGAUGUCACCAAAGAUGCACGGGGAGCAGCCAUCAUUGUCGCGAUCGGUGGUGCUGAAGCCGUAGCCAUUCUGGUCGAUGCCCGAAUAGGCACCACGGAUGGCAUCACCUUUGGACGAAAUUGGAAAACAAUUUACUCAGACAGAACACCAACUGGCCCCAGAUACUGAAGGAGAAGCCUUGCUAGCGGAGGAUGUUUUAAAGUUUUGAUCACUGCAGCCUAAGCAGACAUGGAGGCACAUCAGAUGACCAGACAGACACCCCCACCCUCAUUAUGAUGGUGGAUCUACUGAGGGAAUUGUCGUCAUGAGAGCUGGACAGCAGUGAAACAUUUGCUGAUGCCUGCUGCUGCUCUUUGUGGAAACAUGUUGAAGGAUAUCAACACUAUCACAUUUGACUGAAAGUUGCUGCAGCUCUCUGGGCUGAACUCGCAGCGAAAAUAUGAAUGUUGUCAAG
This is a long non-coding RNA of Perca flavescens (yellow perch), 1121 nucleotides long. RefSeq lists it as uncharacterized. The transcript is spliced from 4 exons. The record is from RefSeq and is a predicted model, not a curated record. NCBI's taxonomy places the organism in Eukaryota, Metazoa, Chordata, Actinopteri, Perciformes, Percidae.